GCACAAUUAGCUCAGUUGGUUAGAGCGCUCGCCUGACUUGCGAGAGGUCAUAGGUUCGAAUCCUAUAUUGUGCA
This 74-nucleotide transfer RNA is filed under the name Patescibacteria group bacterium. RNAcentral describes it as "tRNA-Val". It matches the Rfam family "tRNA". Rfam says of the family: Transfer RNA (tRNA) molecules are approximately 80 nucleotides in length. Their secondary structure includes four short double-helical elements and three loops (D, anti-codon, and T loops). The record is from RNAcentral.